CACUACCUCCCUGUUGGCUCGUUCGCCCUCCAACGUCUAGAGGACAGNGGUAUUAGACCUACCCAAGGUACUUACGCGACCGGUAAACUAGUAGAUACGUAGGUUGGUUCUCGUGUAUCCGGACCCGACUAGCGCGUGACACGUACGUAGCACGCCUCGGUGGGAGUACGCCACGUAGGUAGAACUACGAAAGUAUACGGAGGGGCCCCGCACAAGCGGUGGAGCAUGUGGUUAAUUCGAAGCAACGCGAAGAACCUUACCAGGUCUUGACAUCCCAGUGACCGCUCUAGAGAUAGAGUUUUCUUCGGAACACUGGUGACAGGUGGUGCAUGGUUGUCGUCAGCUCGUGUCGUGAGAUGUUGGGUUAAGUCCCGCAACGAGCGCAACCCU
Molecule: ribosomal RNA, 390 nt
Filed under: uncultured bacterium
Lineage: Bacteria
Description: bacterial SSU rRNA
Rfam family: Bacterial small subunit ribosomal RNA (bases 161-390)
Source: RNAcentral